Molecule: long non-coding RNA, 1963 nt
Organism: Bactrocera tryoni
Lineage: Eukaryota; Metazoa; Arthropoda; Insecta; Diptera; Tephritidae
Exons: 4
Source: RefSeq, a predicted model, not a curated record
AAUUCCGACGAGGGCGUUCUUCUAGACUUAAUAAACUUGCGAAUCGCUUCAGGCGACUCAAAGUUAAAAGAACAUUUACAGACAGGUCACCGAAACGCAGUUUAUACUUCACCACAAAUUCAAAAUGACAUCAUACACAUUUUCGGAGAAAUUAUUAAAGAACUUAUUGUGAAUGAUAUAAAAACAACAAAUCCUUACACCGUCUUAGCAGAUGAAACUGCUGAUAUAUCCGGCAAAGAGCAGCAUUCAAUUGGUUUGCGCUUUUUCGAAGAACAAAAGGAAAUAAUAAGAGAAGAAUUUGUGGGAUUUAUUGAGCUCUCAGCCCAAAAUGCUUCUAACAUUGCUGAAGAAAUAGAUAAGUUUUUGGUGUAUCAUGAACUCUUAACGGAAUCUUGAGUUGGGUUGGGCUUCGACGGCUGUUCUGCAAUGGCAGGAAAAGAAGGUGGUGUGCAAGCGAUUUUAAGAAGAAAAUAUACCCGCGCAGAAUAUUUUCAUUGCUCCAGCCAUAAACUGAACCUGGUUGUCAAUGAUACAAAUGCGGUUCCAGAAAUAAGAAAUGCCAUAUCAACAACAAAGGACGUUAUAAACUUUUUUCGCGAAUCAACCACGCGAAGGAACUGUGCGCCUACUAUAGCACGUUUGUGUGAACCCGGAUGGUCGCAAAAAUAUAAGGCAGUAAGAAAGUUUUCUGAAAAUUUUCCUGAAAUUGUUGAAGGAUUGGAAAAAUUAUCCAUAGAUGGAAACUAUAGCACAAGAAAGAGUGCAUACCAGCUUCAUUCAGCAGUGACAAAAUCGGUGUUUAUCGUUUCCCUAAUGACAAUUGCAAAAUACUCUGCAUUACUGGAACCAACAGUAAACAAUUUGCAAACGAAAGCCAUUGAUAUGAUUGCAGUAGAUGAGCAUAUUGAAAAAAUUAUUGAGGUAAUUGAAAACGAUCGUAGCAAUGCAGAGGAAGUAACGAAUGAACUCCUUGCACAAGCGCGAAGAGUUGCAACUGCGCUAGAUAUAGAACUAUCUUUACCGCGUUUAGGUGUAUAACAAAAACAUAGAAACAAUCCUCCAUCAAACAACGAAGAUGAGUACUGGCGACGCUGUAUUGUGAUUCCAUAUCUUGACCCCUUAACAGCUUCGUUUAAAAUAAGAUUUGCCCGUGAAAAAACUCCAGCAUAUGCGCUAUCUCGGUUGCAUCCAUUGUAUAUGCUCAAAAGUUCAAUUGAAGCCAUUUUUGAAAACUCGAAACUAUUCGAAAAGCAUUAUGAUUUAGAUGUCAGCAAUGAAUUGAAACUUUGGUACAAUUUAUGGAAAAAUAAAAAUUUAUCAGAAAUGGAAUUAAGAGAAAUUGAAGUUGUUGAAUUGAUCAAACAGGCAGAUGAAUUUUACCCUUCAAUUCGAAAAGCUCUCAAAAUAUUAUGUACAUUACCAUGCACUACAGCAACGGUGGAGCGUUCAUUUAGUACGCUAAGGAGAGUUAAAACUUGGCUUCGGGGCACGAUGGGAGAAGAGAGACUAUCUGGAUUAUGUCUGAUGAGCGUGCAUCGCACAUUUGUGAAAGAACAUCAACAGGUCAUUGAGGAAAAAAUCAUCAAUAAAUUUUCAGAAAAUCCUAGACGUUUACUACUUGCAUAAAAAUUUAUCCUGGCUACGUCCUUGAGUACUCUCCGUAGCAACUUUGUCCGAAGUUAACGUUUUUUCUUGUUUAAAAUAAACUUUUGCCAGUACCUGAGCGAAUUUUUCGAACUUUGAUUAUUGCAAAUAGCAAGAGGAUAAAUUAUUCGGUUACACCCUUGACAUGACUUUUUUAAUUACUAUUGUAUGGCAUCCAAUAUAAACGGUUAAAAACUAUCCAUUCUGCAAAUUUUCCAUUAAAUAGACAUAUACAGUCGUAUUUGUCAAUAGAUGUCGUUGCAGUCGUGUAUCUCUAGUGCUACCAAUCACUUUGUGUCCUACCAUAUAGUGUUUGAAA